This 498-nucleotide ribosomal RNA is filed under the name uncultured bacterium. RNAcentral describes it as "partial 16S ribosomal RNA". It matches the Rfam family "Bacterial small subunit ribosomal RNA", at positions 30 to 523 of the family's 1533-position model. The record is from RNAcentral.
AUUGAACGCUGGCGGCAUGCCUUACACAUGCAAGUCGAACGGUAACAGGUCUUCGGAUGCUGACGAGUGGCGAACGGGUGAGUAAUACAUCGGAACGUGCCUAGUAGUGGGGGAUAACUACUCGAAAGAGUGGCUAAUACCGCAUGAGAUCUACGGAUGAAAGCAGGGGAUCGCAAGACCUUGUGCUACUAGAGCGGCCGAUGGCAGAUUAGGUAGUUGGUGGGAUAAAAGCUUACCAAGCCAACGAUCUGUAGCUGGUCUGAGAGGACGAUCAGCCACACUGGGACUGAGACACGGCCCAGACUCCUACGGGAGGCAGCGGUGGGGAAUUUUGGACAAUGGGCGAAAGCCUGAUCCAGCAAUGCCGCGUGCAGGAUGAAGGCCUUCGGGUUGUAAACUGCUUUUGUACGGAACGAAAAGCCCCGGGUUAAUACCCUGGGGUCAUGACGGUACCGUAAGAAUAAGCACCGGCUAACUACGUGCCAGCCGCCGCGGUAA